Molecule: ribosomal RNA, 308 nt
Filed under: uncultured eukaryote
Lineage: Eukaryota
Description: partial large subunit ribosomal RNA
Rfam family: Eukaryotic large subunit ribosomal RNA
Source: RNAcentral
AUAUCAGUAAGCGGAGGAAAAGAAAAUAACAAUGAUUACCUCAGUAGCGGCGAGUGAAGAGGUAAAAGCCCAAGAUGUAAAUCUGUGUUACAGACAUGGAAUUGUAAUCUAUGGAACUAAUCAGAAAGCGGAAGCCUGCCAUAAGUUCCUUGGAAUAGGACGCCAGAGAGGGUGAAAGCCCCGUCUCGGGUAGGACGAAGCAAUAUGAAAGGUUUCUAAGAGUCGGGUAGUUUGGGAAUGCUGCCCUAAGUGGGAGAUAAACUUCUCCUAAGGCUAAAUAUUUAUAGGAGACCGAUAGCGCACAAGUA